RNAcentral lists this non-coding RNA (101 nucleotides) under unclassified sequences. Its description in RNAcentral is "wcaG RNA". It matches the Rfam family "wcaG RNA". The record is from RNAcentral.
UUUGGUUUCUUGCUUUUCCAUUAAAAAGCAAGUGGUGCGGAUGGGACUCUCUCCCGCCUGGUUUCUUGCCUCCAGUUAAAGGGCAAGUGGCGAGCCUGAGU